UGAUUUGAGUGAAUGUGUUAA
Molecule: non-coding RNA, 21 nt
Organism: Caenorhabditis elegans
Lineage: Eukaryota; Metazoa; Nematoda; Chromadorea; Rhabditida; Rhabditidae
Source: Ensembl